Molecule: ribosomal RNA, 465 nt
Filed under: uncultured bacterium
Lineage: Bacteria
Description: partial 16S ribosomal RNA
Rfam family: Bacterial small subunit ribosomal RNA
Source: RNAcentral
CCUACGGGUGACAGCAGUGGGGAAUAUUGCGCAAUGGGCGAAAGCCUGACGCAGCGACGCCGCGUGAGGGAUGAAGGUCUUCGGAUCGUAAACCUCUGUCAGCAGGGAAGAACGGUCACUGUGCUAAUCAGCAGUGAAUUGACGGUACCUGCACAGGAAGCACCGGCUAACUCCGUGCCAGCAGCCGCGGUAAUACGGAGGGUGCGAGCGUUAAUCGGAAUUACUGGGCGUAAGGCGCUCGUAGGCGGUAUGUCAAGUCAAGGGUGAAAUCCCCGCGCUCAACGUGGGAACUGCCUUUGAAACUGGCAAACUGGAGUGUGUGAGAGGAUAGUGGAAUUCCAGGUGUAGGAGUGAAAGCCGUAGAUAUCUGGAGGAACAUCAGUGGCGAAGGCGACUAUCUGGCACAUAACUGACGCUGAGGAGCGAAAGCGUGGGUAGCAAACAGGAUUAGAUACCCUUGUAGUC